GUCGAACGGCAGCGGGAAAGUAGCUUGCUCACUUUUGCCGGCGAGUGGCGAACGGGUGAGUAAUGUAUCGGAACGUGCCCAGUAGCGGGGGAUAACUACGCGAAAGCGUGGCUAAUACCGCAUACGCCCUACGGGGGAAAGGGGGGGAUCUUAGGACCUCUCACUAUUGGAGCGGCCGAUAUCGGAUUAGCUAGUUGGUGGGGUAAAGGCCUACCAAGGCGACGAUCCGUAGCUGGUUUGAGAGGACGACCAGCCACACUGGGACUGAGACACGGCCCAGACUCCUACGGGAGGCAGCAGUGGGGAAUUUUGGACAAUGGGGGAAACCCUGAUCCAGCCAUCCCGCGUGUGCGAUGAAGGCCUUCGGGUUGUAAAGCACUUUUGUCAGGGAAAAAAAGGUUUCGGAUAAUACCCGGAACUGAGGACGGUACCUGAAGA
Molecule: ribosomal RNA, 438 nt
Filed under: Advenella sp.
Lineage: Bacteria; Pseudomonadati; Pseudomonadota; Betaproteobacteria; Burkholderiales; Alcaligenaceae
Description: partial 16S ribosomal RNA
Rfam family: Bacterial small subunit ribosomal RNA
Source: RNAcentral